GGGACACGUGGUAUCCUGUCUGAAUAUGGGGGGACCAUCCUCCAAGGCUAAAUACUCCUGACUGACCGAUAGUGAACCAGUACCGUGAGGGAAAGGCGAAAAGAACCCCGGCGAGGGGAGUGAAAAAGAACCUGAAACCGUGUACGUACAAGCAGUGGGAGCACGCUUAGGCGUGUGACUGCGUACCUUUUGUAUAAUGGGUCAGCGACUUAUAUUCUGUAGCAAGGUUAACCGAAUAGGGGAGCCGAAGGGAAACCGAGUCUUAACUGGGCGUUAAGUUGCAGGGUAUAGACCCGAAACCCGGUGAUCUAGCCAUGGGCAGGUUGAAGGUUGGGUAACACUAACUGGAGGACCGAACCGACUAAUGUUGAAAAAUUAGCGGAUGACUUGUGGCUGGGGGUGAAAGGCCAAUCAAACCGGGAGAUAGCUGGUUCUCCCCGAAAGCUAUUUAGGUAGCGCCUCGUGAAUUCAUCUCCGGGGGUAGAGCACUGUUUCGGCAAGGGGGUCAUCCCGACUUACCAACCCGAUGCAAACUGCGAAUACCGGAGAAUGUUAUCACGGGAGACACACGGCGGGUGCUAACGUCCGUCGUGAAGAGGGAAACAACCCAGACCGCCAGCUAAGGUCCCAAAGUCAUGGUUAAGUGGGAAACGAUGUGGGAAGGCCCAGACAGCCAGGAUGUUGGCUUAGAAGCAGCCAUCAUUUAAAGAAAGCGUAAUAGCUCACUGGUCGAGUCGGCCUGCGCGGAAGAUGUAACGGGGCUAAACCAUGCACCGAAGCUGCGGCAGCGACGCUUAUGCGUUGUUGGGUAGGGGAGCGUUCUGUAAGCCUGUGAAGGUGUGC
Molecule: ribosomal RNA, 843 nt
Filed under: Escherichia coli
Lineage: Bacteria; Pseudomonadati; Pseudomonadota; Gammaproteobacteria; Enterobacterales; Enterobacteriaceae
Description: partial 23S ribosomal RNA
Rfam family: Bacterial large subunit ribosomal RNA
Source: RNAcentral